GGUACUCAUUCUUUCUGUCUCAUAUGCACAUAGCGCAUGAGUUGGUUUUUCUUCCUCCUCUUGGCUUGAGCAUUUGUAGCGUCAUUUAAUAAAUUUCUAUAUGACAGGAUAUCUUGAACUGGCUAUUUACUUUUACAGUCUGUCAGAUAAGAGUGCAUUUUGAUGUGUUGCUCAGGUUUAGAUUCUGGUUACCAUUAUUUGCAUCUAUUAUUGCAGAUAUAUGACCCAACGAAGAAAUGGGAACGUUAUACUAUCCACGGGGAUUGAUCUGAGGCUGCCAUAUGGUUUGCAUUUGCUGAAUUUACCUUUUAAUUGAUCAUCAGUUGAGCAUCUGCACUCCUUGGUGUUUCAACGUUUUACAGACUAGGACAAUUAGUCCACACAGACUUUGAACGUGUUUGUCUUGUCAAAUACGCUCUAAUUUAUUUUUGUCUUAUCUACUUGUUUGAUAGUUAGCUUAUUUUAUUAGAUGCAUAAGGCAUCUUUAUAGCAUGUAUUGCAUCUUUAUCAUUGCUUAUUUGAUAGUUAGCUUAUUUCUAAAUAUGAUCAUGAAACUUUGUCCGUUUCUUAUCUUUAAGUUGUAUUAUCGAGCUUAAAGAAUGGUCUUAUUUUAACAAGAUAUCAAAGUAAAGGUUAGACUAACAUUGUCGGGAAUACUUGGAUUGUAAGACCCUUGUAAGCCAGAAGUUGAAACAGCUCUUGAAUCCUCUGCAAGAAAGCUGGAGUGAAGAUCAAGAUUAUGAUCACAUGAUUUAAUCUGGACACAGCUAGGGCUAACGGUCCAUCUCCAAUUCCCUUUUCGCGGCUCUCAAGUUCUUCCAAUAGUUUGAAGUUCCUAGGAACUGCUCGCAUAGAUCAGAACAACAAUGCAGCAAGAUGCAAUUAAAUAUACAGAGAAUAUGCUAGAGCAUGGUACCUACCAGAGUUCCGAGGAAUUUCGGGCUAUUGGAUGAUCUUGAGAGAGAUGAAAAUGGAAUUGGAGAUGGAACCUUAGCUUUGGCCCUCGCUGUUUGAGCACAUUAUCUCAUGUGAUAAUCUUGAUCUUCAGUCCAGUUUUCUUGCAGAGCAUUCACUACAAGGGUCUUUCAAUCCAAGUGUUCCCAACUAUGUUAGUCCAGACUCUUGAAGCUUUUCAAUGUUUCCAUUAACCUGCCCGUUGGAACUCUUUUGAGCAAAGGCAAUGAUUCGCAAACAUUUGGUAUCCAUUGUAUGAUAGUGGUAUCCUUUAAAAGCUUCAAGGACAAAGGAAACAAAACAUUUUUGAUGUAGGUAUAUGCCACGCUUGAGAUCAGUUUCAAGAUGUGCAGCGAGUUCUUUGACGUAUCCAAAUUGGUUGAGAGAAUCGAAUCUUUUGGAACUACAAAAUAUAUUAAUAAAUGAUAAUUACAAUAAAUUUAUUGUCCGUUUUGGUCUUUGUAUGAGGUUUUUGGGAGACUAACAUCAAGAUAAUUACAGUAAGUGUGCCCUACCAUGUCACUCACUGAGUACUUUGGUAGUUUGGGAUCAACCUUGGGAUAUGGUUAGUGAUAAUCUCUAUCGUUAAAAGAUAACUUUUAAUAUAUUUUUUAUAACAUUUUUUUAAUUGACUCAUACCAUUUCUAGUAUUUAUAUUUUUCUUCGUAUAAGUGUCAUUCUAACUAGUAUUUUGGACGGUUAUCUAUCAUUUCUUAACUUUUUAGUGGUAUAUGAUAUCAUAUUUAUAAAUGUUGUUAUAUUUUCAAAUAAUUAAAGAAUAUUAUUGCAAUGUACAAAGAAUAUAAAUGUUGUACUUUUUAAUUAGCAUGUGGUGAAUUUGUAAAAUAAUGAAUAAGAAGAUAUAAUGUUAUUUUUGUUUGAAGUUUGGUAUUUUGAUUUUUUUCUCUCGGCUUCCUUGUUUUUUCCUGGUCCUUUCUAGGAAAGUGUUGACUAAAACUAUUAAAAUUCCAAGAAAAUUAUGCAAAAGCAUUCGUAUAAAUUAUUGAAAUCAUAAAUUAUGUUAAAUAAAGUAACUAAAUUGUAAUUUAGUAAUCAUUGCAAAAAUCACUUAUAAAUAUGAUGCUUAUAAAUAGUUUGAAGGUAUGAAUAUAUGAAAUUUUAACAUAUUGUUAAAAAUAUAUGAAAUGUAUUUUUUUAAUAUUAUUUUUGUAUAAUAGGUAAAGUUGAAUAGUGAUGGAUUCGAAUAUUAUAUUUAUGAUAUCUGUAUUUAGUUAACUCUAAAUAAAUUUUAAUUUUAAUUAUUAUUCUUUAGGUUUUAUGAUAUAAUUAUAAUAAUUAUUAUUUAAGUUAUUUAAAUGACUUACUGUUUAUCUUCUUAAUAACUGGACCAUGUAUGAAUUUUUGGACAUAUCAUGCAUUUUUUAUUUUUAUAAAACAAUUUAAUAUAUUUAGAUAUAAAUUUAAUUUAAUUUAUAUGAUCUGGACCAACCCGUUUUUUUAUAAAAUAAUUUACUUUAUCUUGGAAUUUUCUUAAAAUUAAAUCAAUAACAAUUGAUUAAUUCAAAUUUUAUUCUCUCUUAAAUUUAAUCAUGCCGAAAUUACUCACAGUAAAUAAAUAUUAACAUAGAUUUAUCAUUGUGUGUGUACAAUAUAGAAAUAGACUAAUGGUAUUAAAAAUUAUUUUGUAAAGGUGAGCCAAAUUAAAGUGAAGAAUAUUGGUUAUUGAAUAAUCACUAAAAAAAUUUACGGUGGCAAUUAGUUACGUAAUAAAAGGUACUUAAAUUGGCGUAUUUUUCUAGGCAAUUAAAAUUUUCAGGAUAUUAAAAUUUAUGAUAUUUCAUUAUUAAGAGUCUUUAAAUUCAAAAUAAAAUAAAAUAAAAGACUAAUUACUUUUAGACUAAUUAACUUAUAGGUAUGAAUGAGUAAUUGAUAAUUAAAAAAUAAAUAAAUAAUAAAUAAUAUAUAUAUAUAAUUAAAAUAUUAUUUUAUUAGUUUGUAAAGUGUAGGCUUUUUACUGUUUGUUUGGUAAUGUUAAUCUAUCACGAUCCAAAAUUAUAUUAUUUAAUUGGAGGAAAGGUGAUUGAAAACAAGUAGAAUUAAGUGGAAAGUUUGUAGAGGAUAUAAAUUGAAUUAUGUAAUAAUUUUUUUUUAUUGUUUUAAUUACCAAAAUACUGUUUUCUUGUAUUUUUAAUGAAACAAAUAUUAAUAUUUAUGUAAUAAAAAAUAUAUUAGUUUAUGUAUUUGUGGUUAAAAUUUGAAAGUAAAGAAACAGAAAAUGUAUUUUUAUUAUAUUAUAUAUGGAUCUAUUAAACAAAAAUAUUGCACAAUCAUCUAGAGAUUAAAAAAACAUUUAAACAAAAAUACUGCACAAUCACGUAGAGAUUGAAAAAAACAUUCAAAAAAUGUGUCUUAAUUAAUUAAAAAAAAUAUUUAAAUUCAACUUCACCAUAUAACUAGGUAUCAAAAGUAACUCAUAUAAUUAUCAUUGAUACCCAUUGUAUGUUUAUAAACAAAUAUUUAAUAUAUGUGUCUAUUUUUAUAUACAUUUUUAAGCGAGAUUAUAAGGAGACAAUUCAAACAAAAACACCUGAAUUUAGGAAAAUGAUUUUACUAGAUAAUUUAUAGGAGAAAAAGUGUAUCAUAUUUGAUUAUUAAUAGAACCCAAUCGAUCAUGUUCCAUGUAGGAAUCAAUUACACAUGGUAUCCAUAAUCAAUUUAUCUUCAACCUAAUUAGUCAUUCAUCCAUUAUAAUGCAUAAUAUUAUAGGUUAUUAUGCACAAUCGAUUAUGGAUUAUAAAGACAUCCAUGUUGACUCUUGAAUAAUGAAAAGAUUCAUGACAUCAUAUCUUAUAGGUUUAGACUUACUCAGUAAAUAAUGCAAGAUAUAAUAAAAAAAUCACAAUGAAAAAAUAAUUUAAAAAAGUGUACACAUAAUUUUGAACAUAAGAUUUUAAUUAAUUAUACUAAGGCACAGGUCAAACUCAUUUUGAAGUAUUAAUAGGUAUAUAAUCAAACUUUGAAUUAUUAAUAGUUAUAUAAUUGUAUUAUGCGUAUUAAAUUUUUUAUUACUUUAUGAAAAACAUUAUUCAGCUUGAUUGUAGUUUUGAUAAAUUUGUACUCAAAUCAUGUUAUUGUUGGCCUACGUAAUAAGAUGCAAUUAGUUGAUCAACACAUGUAGCAAUUUUGGAAAAAAUUGAAUGGAGUCAUGACCAAUCAUGGUAUGACUUAUAACCGAUUAUGUAUGAGUGUGACAAUAAUAUAAAUAAAAUUGACAAAGACAAAUUAUAACUUGCAUUACACAUAAAAAUAACCCACAUGUACGAUGAAACAUGCACAUUAAUGAAAUAAAACUAGAGACAAAGUUACCAUUUCACAUACCUGUCAUCCUUUCCUCCACCAUCUCGUUUAUUUUUCAAAAAAUAAAUACAGAUUCAUACUAAAUUGUCUCAUUAGAAAUUAAUUAAUCAAAAUCGAAUAAUCGACAUCGAGAUCAACCUUCAAAAGUUAAAGAUGAAAAUGAUUAAAAUUUACAACGUGUGAGUUCUUGUUCGAAUUCUUGACUUUGGGAUUUUAUUUGUUACACAUUUAUUUCGUUUUUGGAAGUUUGUAUUUUUCUAGUGUUUUUUUAUUUGUUAUUAUCACUUUUCGUCUAUUUUUUUAUUCUUCAUUAUAUACAUAUAAAAUAAUAUCUCUCAUUUCUAAAAGUUACCUGUGCAAGUAACUUCAAAAAUUAGGUGACUUUAAUUGUUAUUUGUUAUGUUAACUUCUUCCAAUAACAAAAUUGUUUGAAAUAAAAUAUAAGGAAUGAAGAAGAUUCUUCCCCAUGAAGAUGUAAAUAUGAAAAUGAGAGUUGUGUUUUAUUUGAUUUGUAUUAGUAAUUUCUUUUUUUUUAUUUUAUCUUGUUAUACUUCUUGUAAACAAUUAUAAAAGAAGCAUAUUUUCGUUCUAAUUGUAAUUUUGUGAAGAUAUAAUUUUGACGAAAGAAAAGUGUGAACAUAGAUUUUGAAUAUUUAAUUUUCUAUUAAAUAUUCAUUCAGUAUUAAUAAUAUAUAUAUUUUUUAAAAAAUAUAAAAUAAUAUAAAAAAUAAAUUAAAAUUAAAAUUAUUAUUUUAUUAGAUGUUUCAAGAGCGUUGAAAAAUUAAAAAGUAUUCAUGUAAUAUUCCCUGCAAAAUAAUAAAGUCCAUUGGCAAUAGUCCGAACCAACAAGAGCAAAAUACACUUAAUUUGUGGCAAAUUCUUCCUACACAUAAUCAUUUUAAACUUACACCCUAUAUAAUUUUAAAUUUUCUAGAAUGCCUUUCGAAUUCUGGAAAUAAAAAUUUGGAAUUAAAAAUAAUAUAUUUCAGAAAAAUAGAACAAAAAUAGAUUAUUGUGUUUUAAAAAUAAAAUUUUGAAAACAAAAAUCAAAAUCCCAUUCCAAAUAAAAAAAAUCCGCAAUAAAAAAAUUCUUUAAAAAAAAAAAAUCUACAACAUAUUCUUGAAAAGGAGUUUCAGGAUUUAUUUUAUAUACACAUCCAUUUUAUCUUAGGAAAAUUUUCUCUUUUCAUAGGGACUAAUUGCCUUAUUUUUCUCUCACUCCUAUAAGCUUAUGAAAAUGUUUGAUAAUUUCUCUUUGUAGCAUCAUAUCAAUUAUAACAUGCACUCAAUCUCCUAUUAAAAAUGAUAAAACUGUCCCUUCCAAUGAUGAAAAUAACUUUAAACGAGGUGUAAAUAAAAAUUAUUUAUAGAACCCUUUAACCAGAAAUAUUCUGGAUUUAAAUUUCCGCAUUUUUAAAUUUCAAUUUUUUAUUCGGAAUGUAUUUUUUAAUUUUGAAAUAUUUAUUAUUCCAGAUUUGAAAUUGUCAGAGUGUUUUGGAGUUAGAAUUGGGUUUUAGUAUUAGUUUGGGCCUACUGUAAAACUGAAGCCCAGCCCAAUAGCGAGGGAACUAUAUAAGCACCUACGGGUUAUGAAAAGAAACAUGUGUUGUGUGGUGUUGUGUAGUUGGUCUUUGAAUUUGAGUUUGAAUUUAGGAGCGAAGAAGAGGAUGUCGGGUACGGGAGACGGGUACGUCGGCGCCGCCCAAGACGCGGUGAGGAUUCGGCUGUUGGAGAAGCAGAGAGAAGCGGAGCGUCGCAAAAUCCAAGAACUCAAAACCAAGUCUGCUUCCGACAAGGGCCAACCCGGUCUCCUUCAAUUCGGUUCCAGCACUUCCGAGGUACCGCGUUCCUUCAAUUUCUAUCUUUUCUUUUCUUCUUUUGGGGUUCUUCUUUUCAAGAUUACAAUCGUCUUUACUUUUCUUGAAUUUCAGAUUCUUGAGACCGCCUUCAAAGUGGAAAAUCAAGGGCAAUUCUCGAUUGUCCUUUGCUGAGGAUAUCGACAGUGAACCCCAAGAGGAGGAGGAGGAGGAACCACGUCAUAGUAAGUGAUGUUUGGAAAUACUGUGAAAAAAGGAUGUUUGAUUUUACACAAAGUUGCUUCCAGUUUUUCACAGUGUAACCGUAGUUUCUGUUAUAAUCAAAAUAAGUUUUGUGUGAUUUUCUUUGCAGUUUAAAAUUUAGAGUUUUUCUUUGUUUAUCAAUGUAGCAUCAUUUUGAUGUGCAUGAGGAUGUACGAACAAUUGCUGAUGCCACUAUAGAGAAGGACGAGGUAUACUUUCUUUCUUCCUAUGUAUUUUACCGAUAUCUUAAAAUUUGGAUUUUCAAGUGAAAGGAAGCAAGUGCGCAUGUAUGACCUUUGGUGGUGUUCUAAUGACUUCUCUUAUGGGUUUUUGCUUAAUUUUUCUUACUGGGGUGAUCUUGUUUCCACCGACAGUCUCAUGCUGGGAAGGUUGUAGAAAGGCACUGGUAUGAAAAGAACAAGCAUAUAUUUCCUGCUUCAAGAUGGGAGGUACUCAUUCUUUCUGUCUCAUAUGCACAUUGCGCAUGAGUUGGAUAUCUUGAACUGGCUAUUUAUUUUUACAGUCUGUCAGAUAAGAGUGCAUUUUGAUGUGUUGCUGAGGUUUAGAUUCUGGUUACCAUUAUUUGCAUCUUUUAUUGCAGAUAUAUGACCCAACGAAGAAAUGGGAACGUUAUACUAUCCACGGGGAUUGAUCUGAGGCUGCCAUAUGGUUUGCAUUUGCUGAAUUUACCUUUUAAUUGAUCAUCAGUUGAGCAUCUGCACUCCUUGGUGUUUCAACGUUUUACAGACUAGGACAAUUAGUCCACACAGAAUUUGAACGUGUUUGUCUUGUCAAAUACGCUCUAAUUUAUUUUUGUCUUAUCCACUUGUUUUGAUAGUUAGCUUAUUUUAUUAGAUGCAUAAGGCAUCGUUAUAGCAUGUAUUGCAUCUUUAUCAUUGCUUAUUUGAUAGUUAGCUUAUUUCUAAAUAUGAUCAUGAAACUUUGUCCGUUUCUUAUCUUUAAGUUGUAUUAUC
Molecule: long non-coding RNA, 7306 nt
Filed under: Phaseolus vulgaris (common bean)
Lineage: Eukaryota; Viridiplantae; Streptophyta; Magnoliopsida; Fabales; Fabaceae
Description: long non-coding RNA (PVUL_LNC004762)
Source: RNAcentral